This 464-nucleotide ribosomal RNA is filed under the name Vreelandella stevensii. Its description in RNAcentral is "partial 16S ribosomal RNA". It matches the Rfam family "Bacterial small subunit ribosomal RNA", at positions 338 to 795 of the family's 1533-position model. The record is from RNAcentral. Lineage: Bacteria; Pseudomonadati; Pseudomonadota; Gammaproteobacteria; Oceanospirillales; Halomonadaceae.
CCUACGGGCGGCUGCAGUGGGGAAUAUUGGACAAUGGGGGGAACCCUGAUCCAGCCAUGCCGCGUGUGUGAAGAAGGCCCUCGGGUUGUAAAGCACUUUCAGUGAGGAAGAACGCCUGGUGGUUAAUACCCAUCAGGAAAGACAUCACUCACAGAAGAAGCACCGGCUAACUCCGUGCCAGCAGCCGCGGUAAUACGGAGGGUGCGAGCGUUAAUCGGAAUUACUGGGCGUAAAGCGCGCGUAGGUGGCUUGAUAAGCCGGUUGUGAAAGCCCCGGGCUCAACCUGGGAACGGCAUCCGGAACUGUCAAGCUAGAGUGCAGGAGAGGAAGGUAGAAUUCCCGGUGUAGCGGUGAAAUGCGUAGAGAUCGGGAGGAAUACCAGUGGCGAAGGCGGCCUUCUGGACUGACACUGACACUGAGGUGCGAAAGCGUGGGUAGCAAACAGGAUUAGAUCCCUUGUAGUC